RNAcentral lists this ribosomal RNA (254 nucleotides) under uncultured bacterium. Its description in RNAcentral is "partial 16S ribosomal RNA". It matches the Rfam family "Bacterial small subunit ribosomal RNA", at positions 524 to 776 of the family's 1533-position model. The record is from RNAcentral.
CACGUAGGGUGCGAGCGUUGUCCGGAAUUAUUGGGCGUAAAGAGCUCGUAGGCGGUGUGUCGCGUCGGCCGUGAAAACCUGCAGCUUAACUGUGGGCUUGCGGUCGAUACGGGCAUCACUGGAGUUCGGCAGGGGAGACUGGAAUUUACGGUGUAGCAGUGAAAUGCGUAGAUAUCGUAAGGAAGACCAGUGGCGAAGGCGAGUCUCUGGACAGUUACUGACGCUGAGGCACGAAGGCCAGGGGAGCAAACGGG